CCGGCGAGGGGAGUGAAAAAGAACCUGAAACCGUGUACGUACAAGCAGUGGGAGCACGCUUAGGCGUGUGACUGCGUACCUUUUGUAUAAUGGGUCAGCGACUUAUAUUCUGUAGCAAGGUUAACCGAAUAGGGGAGCCGAAGGGAAACCGAGUCUUAACUGGGCGUUAAGUUGCAGGGUAUAGACCCGAAACCCGGUGAUCUAGCCAUGGGCAGGUUGAAGGUUUGGUAACACUAACUGGAGGACCGAACCGACUAAUGUUGAAAAAUUAGCGGAUGACUUGUGGCUGGGGGUGAAAGGCCAAUCAAACCGGGAGAUAGCUGGUUCUCCCCGAAAGCUAUUUAGGUAGCGCCUCGUGAAUUCAUCUCCGGGGGUAGAGCACUGUUUCGGCAAGGGGGUCAUCCCGACUUACCAACCCGAUGCAAACUGCGAAUACCGGAGAAUGUUAUCACGGGAGACACACGGCGGGUGCUAACGUCCGUCGUGAAGAGGGAAACAACCCAGACCGCCAGCUAAGGUCCCAAAGUCAUGGUUAAGUGGGAAACGAUGUGGGAAGGCCCAGACAGCCAGGAUGUUGGCUUAGAAGCAGCCAUCAUUUAAAGAAAGCGUAAUAGCUCACUGGUCGAGUCGGCCUGCGCGGAAGAUGUAACGGGGCUAAACCAUGCACCGAAGCUGCGGCAGCGACGCUGAUGCGUUGUUGGGUAGGGGAGCGUUCUGUAAGCCUGCGAAGGUGUGCUGUGAGGCAUGCUGGAGGUAUCAGAAGUGCGAAUGCUGACAUAAGUAACGAUAAAGCGGGUGAAAAGCCCGCUCGCCGGAAGACCAAGGGUUCCUGUCCAACGUUAAUCGGGGCAGGGUGAGUCGACCCCUAAGGCGAGGCCGAAAGGCGUAGUCGAUGGGAAACAGGUUAAUAUUCCUGUACUUGGUGUUACUGCGAAGGGGGGACGGAGAAGGCUAUGUUGGCCGGGCGACGGUUGUCCCGGUUUAAGCGUGUAGGCUGGUUUUCCAGGCAAAUCCGGAAAAUCAAGGCUGAGGCGUGAUGACGAGGCACUACGGUGCUGAAGCAACAAAUGCCCUGCUUCCAGGAAAAGCCUCUAAGCAUCAGGUAACAUCAAAUCGUACCCCAAACCGACACAGGUGGUCAGGUAGAGAAUACCAAGGCGCUUGAGAGAACUCGGGUGAAGGAACUAGGCAAAAUGGUGCCGUAACUUCGGGAGAAGGCACGCUGAUAUGUAGGUGAGGUCCCUCGCGGAUGGAGCUGAAAUCAGUCGAAGAUACCAGCUGGCUGCAACUGUUUAUUAAAAACACAGCACUGUGCAAACACGAAAGUGGACGUAUACGGUGUGACGCCUGCCCGGUGC
Molecule: ribosomal RNA, 1358 nt
Filed under: Escherichia coli
Lineage: Bacteria; Pseudomonadati; Pseudomonadota; Gammaproteobacteria; Enterobacterales; Enterobacteriaceae
Description: partial 23S ribosomal RNA
Rfam family: Bacterial large subunit ribosomal RNA
Source: RNAcentral